Non-coding RNA from Neoarius graeffei (lesser salmon catfish), 985 nucleotides. The record is from the annotation of a RefSeq genome assembly. NCBI's taxonomy places the organism in Eukaryota, Metazoa, Chordata, Actinopteri, Siluriformes, Ariidae.
CACACAGAGACACAGAGUUGUGGUGUUUGCAUGUGUGUGCUGUGUCACUGCUGCACACACUUUAAGAGCUGUAGUGCUGAUCAGAGUGUGUUCAGUCCUUUCAGAGCCACUGACACGCAGCACAAUGAUGAUGGUACUGAUUCUACUGCUGGGGACACUGGGACUCCUCGCUCACCAGUCCUUUGGGGAAAUCGUCCUGACUCAGUCUCCAGGAUCUCAGUCUGUUUCUCCAGGACAAUCUGUUACUCUCACCUGUACAGCCAGUCAGGGUGUUUACAGUAACCUCCACUGGUACCUGCAGAAACCUGGAGAAGCUCCUAAACUCCUGAUCUAUGCUGCAACUAAUCGUCAGUCUGGGAUUCCAGGUCGUUUCAGUGGCAGUGGAUCUGGUUCACAAUAUAAUCUAAAAAUCUCUGGAGUUCAGUCUGAAGAUGCAGGAGAUUAUUACUGUCAGCAGGAUGACACCACUCCGUGGACUUUCGGUGGAGGAACCAAACUCAUCAUCAAAACCGGUCCCACGGUGAAGCCCUCCGUGUCUCUGCUCCCUCCCUCCUCUCUGCAGCUGUCUGAGGGAUCGGCCUCACUGCUCUGCCUGCUGUCUGCCUACUCUCCACAGGGGGCGCUGGUGAGCUGGACAGUGGACGGCUCAGAGGUGAAGAACGGGGUUCUGACCAGCGCAGAAGAACACAAGAAGGACGGUUACACACGCAGCAGCACCCUGACCCUCAGCAAAGCACUCUGGGAAAAGGGGGAGGAGUUUGUCUGUACCGUCUCCCAUGACGGCGUCAAUCAUCCGGUCACGUUCAGAAAGAGCCAGUGUGAAGGCUAACAGCUCCAAGAUAGAAUUCAACACUCAGCUGCUUACACAUCCAUCUACAAUAGAGUUUCAAUUCUACACAAUGCUGACAUUUCUGUCUUUACUCUCUUCACUGUCCUGUUGCUCUUCCUGUAGUUUUGCUCUGCUGAAAUAAAGCUUCAUUUUGGA